AUGAACGCUAGCGACAGGCCUAACACAUGCAAGUCGAGGGGCAGCACAAGGAGCAAUCUGAGGUGGCGACCGGCGCACGGGUGAGUAACACGUAUGCAACCUGCCUGUAAGCGGGGAAUAACCCGUUGAAAGACGGACUAAUACCGCAUAAUACUAAAUUACUGCAUGGUAAUUUAUUUAAACAUUUAUGGCUUACAGAUGGGCAUGCGCAUGAUUAGCUAGUUGGAGAGGUAACGGCUCCCCAAGGCAACGAUCAUUAGGGGUUCUGAGAGGAAGGUCCCCACACUGGUACUGAGACACGGACCAGACUCCUACGGGAGGCAGCAGUGAGGAAUAUUGGUCAAUGGACGAGAGUCUGAACCAGCCAAGUCGCGUGCAGGAAGAAUGUCCUAAUGGAUUGUAAACUGCUUUUGCAGGGGAAUAAAGUGCAUCACGUGUGAUGUUUUGUAUGUACUCUGCGAAUAAGGAUCGGCUAACUCCGUGCCAGCAGCUGC
RNAcentral lists this ribosomal RNA (494 nucleotides) under uncultured bacterium. RNAcentral's name for it is "bacterial SSU rRNA". It matches the Rfam family "Bacterial small subunit ribosomal RNA", at positions 29 to 518 of the family's 1533-position model. The record is from RNAcentral.